AACAGCGUCCGUCCGGGAAACCGGACCCAAAACAAGGUGCUGCAUGGCUGUCGUCAGCUCGUGUCGUGAGAUGUUGGGUUAAGUCCCGCAACGAGCGCAACCCUUAACUUCAGUUGCCAUCAUUAAGUUGGGAACUCUGGAGUGACUGCCGUUGAUAAAACGGAGGAAGGUGGGGAUGAUGUCAAGUCAUCAUGGCCUUUAUGCUUAGGGCUACACACGUGCUACAAUGGACGGUACAAAACGUCGCAAUCUCGCAAGAGGGAGCUAAUCGCU
RNAcentral lists this ribosomal RNA (273 nucleotides) under uncultured Desulfobacca sp. RNAcentral describes it as "partial 16S ribosomal RNA". It matches the Rfam family "Bacterial small subunit ribosomal RNA", at positions 1003 to 1276 of the family's 1533-position model. Lineage: Bacteria; Pseudomonadati; Thermodesulfobacteriota; Desulfobaccia; Desulfobaccales; Desulfobaccaceae. The record is from RNAcentral.